UGGCGGACGGGUGAGUAACGCGUGGGUAACCUGCCCUGUACAGGGGGAGUAACAGCUGGAAACGGCUGCUAAUACCGCAUAAACGCACGAGGAGACAUCUCCUUGUGUGAAAAACUCCGGUGGUACAGGAUGGGCCCGCGUCUGAUUAGCUGGUUGGCAGGGUAACGGCCUACCAAGGCAACGAUCAGUAGCCGGUCUGAGAGGAUGAACGGCCACAUUGGAACUGAGACACGGUCCAAACUCCUACGGGAGGCAGCAUG
This 260-nucleotide ribosomal RNA is filed under the name uncultured bacterium. RNAcentral describes it as "partial 16S ribosomal RNA". It matches the Rfam family "Bacterial small subunit ribosomal RNA", at positions 96 to 353 of the family's 1533-position model. The record is from RNAcentral.